Long non-coding RNA from Anas platyrhynchos (mallard), 692 nucleotides. RefSeq lists it as uncharacterized. NCBI's taxonomy places the organism in Eukaryota, Metazoa, Chordata, Aves, Anseriformes, Anatidae. The record is from RefSeq and is a predicted model, not a curated record.
AGACUCAGAUUCGGAAAGAAGCAAAGCAAGCUAGAGGAAAACUGGAUGUCCAGUAUCCAAAACUCCGUGUUACAGCGGAUCUUCUCCUCUGAUCCGAAAAGCUUCACAGGCCAAAAGAGAAUUGAGAUGAAGAAGGCAAGAGAGAAUGCAGACCAAGACUUCCAAUUCCCACCUGUGUGAGGUGAAGAAGAACACUGCAACCAGCUGAAGCCGUAUCGGACACAUGCUUCUGUUCUGCUCGGAAGUAAACCAGAGCGAUUCCACGGUGUACUUUAGACAGAUUUCCUCUGGACUCAGCAUCCCCAGGGGAUAUUUCCAAGCUCUCGGAAGGACCUGUCGUUCUCUCUGACACUGCAGUCUCCAUUAGGAAGGGACACCACCCGGCUAGCCAAGCUAACCCAUUGAAAAUGGAAGGAGUGGGACAUCUUCAAAAGCCUGCUGCUGCUUCUAAGCAGAACUGCGCUGUAGGUGGGGACACAGCAAGAGGACACGUCCAGGCCACGCUGGAACUGCAAGGCACCUGUCCGAGCCACGGAACAAAGUCAGCGAUUGCCAGUUGGAGACUGUUGCUCGCCCAGUAACACAGCAGCUGGAGCGCUUCUGGUUGCUGCUGCUGGGUUCCCGUGAAUCAGCCAGGGAUAGGAGCUAUGAGAACAACUGAAGCGAUCUGAAGAUACCUGAAAGAAAGAAAA